This 716-nucleotide ribosomal RNA is filed under the name uncultured Staphylococcus sp. RNAcentral's name for it is "bacterial SSU rRNA". It matches the Rfam family "Bacterial small subunit ribosomal RNA", at positions 202 to 905 of the family's 1533-position model. Lineage: Bacteria; Bacillati; Bacillota; Bacilli; Caryophanales; Staphylococcaceae. The record is from RNAcentral.
AAAAGAUGGUUUUGCUAUCACUUAUAGAUGGACCCGCGCCGUAUUAGCUAGUUGGUAAGGUAACGGCUUACCAAGGCAACGAUACGUAGCCGACCUGAGAGGGUGAUCGGCCACACUGGAACUGAGACACGGUCCAGACUCCUACGGGAGGCAGCAGUAGGGAAUCUUCCGCAAUGGACGAAAGUCUGACGGAGCAACGCCGCGUGAGUGAUGAAGGUUUUCGGAUCGUAAAACUCUGUUAUUAGGGAAGAACAAAUGUGUAAGUAACUGUGCACAUCUUGACGGUACCUAAUCAGAAAGCCACGGCUAACUACGUGCCAGCAGCCGCGGUAAUACGUAGGUGGCAAGCGUUAUCCGGAAUUAUUGGGCGUAAAGCGCGCGUAGGCGGUUUCUUAAGUCUGAUGUGAAAGCCCACGGCUCAACCGUGGAGGGUCAUUGGAAGCUGGGAAACUUGAGUGCAGAAGAGGAAAGUGGAAUUCCAUGUGUAGCGGUGAAAUGCGCAGAGAUAUGGAGGAACACCAGUGGCGAAGGCGACUUUCUGGUCUGUAACUGACGCUGAUGUGCGAAAGCGUGGGGAUCAAACAGGAUUAGAUACCCUGGUAGUCCACGCCGUAAACGAUGAGUGCUAAGUGUUAGGGGGUUUCCGCCCCUUAGUGCUGCAGCUAACGCAUUAAGCACUCCGCCUGGGGAGUACGACCGCAAGGUUGAAACUCAAA